RNA transcript from Mus musculus (house mouse), 1156 nucleotides. It is a transcript of the gene named cyclin Q, pseudogene 2, with no coding region annotated. NCBI's taxonomy places the organism in Eukaryota, Metazoa, Chordata, Mammalia, Rodentia, Muridae. The record is from RefSeq and is marked validated. The transcript has a single exon.
UGGGUCUCAUGAAGGCUGUUCGGCCAGACAGCUGCGAACGGUUGAUGGCGCCGCGGAGUGCCAAGGAGAGGCCGGUUCCCUAGGCGAGGGUGCACUUCCGAGUAACCCGGUCCAUCUGGAGGCAGGCAUCAAGCUAGGCAUGCGGUCCAUCCCCAUCUCCACAAAGUUCACCAUUUAUUGUAAGUUCUCCUGUGAGAUCAACCUGGAUGCAUAUGGCCUCUACCUGGUCGCCAUGUCUUCAGUUAACUUGGCCGGAAAAGUAGAGGAGCAACACUUGCUUACUCGUGACAUCAUCAACGUACCACACAGGUCCUUUACCCCGGGCAGUGAGCCGUUGGAGCUGGAUUCCCGCUUCUGGGAGCUAUGAGACAGCAUUGUACAAUGUGAACUUCUUAUGCUACGAGUUCUGAGCUUCCAAGUCUCUUUCCAGCAUCCACACAAGUACCUGCUGAACUACUUGAUUUCCCUCAAGAACUGGCUGAAUCGUUACAGCUGGCAAUGAACCCCCAUCUCUGUUACAGCUUGGGCUCUGCCACGAGAUAGCUACCAUGGGGGGGGGGGAGGCGGGGGGCUAUGCCUCUGCUUCCAGGCUCAGCACCUAGCCCUGGCUGUGCUCUACCUGGCCCAACAGGUUUACGGGGUCGAGGUGCCUGCAGAGGGUGAGGCCGAGAAGCCUUGGUAGCAGGUAUUUAGUGAUGACUUUACCAGUAUUGUGUCUGAUCUCAUUCAGAUUUAUACAAUGGAUACAGAGGUCCCCUAAGGCCCUGGCCGAGGCCGGACCAAAGACCAGGAUGAUCGGAGGCUUGGGGUAUUGUUCCACCAAGUUGGCGUGUCUCUACUCGGAGGACUGGUUGUGCUCGCAGAGGAUGUCACUGUUGACUGCAAUGACAUGCUGUCAUUUUGUCCCCAGCAGCCCUUGUUCAAAUAAUGCCAAGAACCUCUUUGUGGGCAGGACAUAUAGAGCUUUCUAGAAUUGGCUGCAUCAGCUUUUGCCCAUUGAGAAGAUGCUGCAUUUGAGGCAUGGAUCAUUGCAGGUCGCCAACAGGAAAGUUAAAGAAUAGGACUGCACCCUUAGGGGAAGUAUGAAUGUGUAACAUAGAAUCUUAUUUUGUAUAAUAAAGAUUAUGCAAAUAAAAUAUAGGAAAGGUUUAUUGCA